Molecule: ribosomal RNA, 501 nt
Filed under: uncultured bacterium
Lineage: Bacteria
Description: bacterial SSU rRNA
Rfam family: Bacterial small subunit ribosomal RNA
Source: RNAcentral
AUUGAACGCUGGCGGCAUGCCUUACACAUGCAAGUCGAACGGCGGCACGGGAGCAAUCCUGGUGGCGAGUGGCGAACGGGUGAGUAAUAUAUCGGAACGUGCCCAAUCGUGGGGGAUAACGCAGCGAAAGCUGUGCUAAUACCGCAUACGAUCUAAGGAUGAAAGCGGGGGAUUCGCAAGAACCUCGCGCGAAUGGAGCGGCCGAUAUCAGAUUAGCUAGUUGGUGGGGUAAAAGCUCACCAAGGCGACGAUCUGUAGCUGGUCUGAGAGGACGACCAGCCACACUGGAACUGAGACACGGUCCAGACUCCUACGGGAGGCAGCAGUGGGGAAUUUUGGACAAUGGACGCAAGUCUGAUCCAGCCAUUCCGCGUGCAGGAUGAAGGCCCUCGGGUUGUAAACUGCUUUUGUACGGUAACGAAAAAAGUACCGGGGUUAAUACCCUAGGGCCCAUGACGGUACCGUAAGAAUAAGCACCGGCUAACUACGUGCCAGCAGCCG